This 392-nucleotide ribosomal RNA is filed under the name uncultured bacterium. RNAcentral's name for it is "partial 16S ribosomal RNA". It matches the Rfam family "Bacterial small subunit ribosomal RNA", at positions 523 to 918 of the family's 1533-position model. The record is from RNAcentral.
AUACGGAGGAUCCGAGCGUUAUCCGGAUUUAUUGGGUUUAAAGGGUGCGCAGGCGGCCAUUUAAGUCAGCGGUUAAAUCGUGGGGCUCAACCCCAUUCUGCCGUUGAUACUGGGUGGCUUGAUUGCGGUCGAGGUUGGCGGAAUUCGUUGUGUAGCGGUGAAAUGCAUAGAUAUGACGAAGAACACCGAUUGCGUAGGCAGCUGACCAGACCGCAAAUGACGCUCAUGCACGAAAGUGCGGGGAUCGAACAGGAUUAGAUACCCUGGUAGUCCGCACAGUAAACGAUGAAUACUUGUUUUCGGCGAUAUAAUGUCGGAGGCAAAGCGAAAGCGAUAAGUAUUACACCUGGGGAGUACGCCGGCAACGGUGAAACUCAAAUGAAUUGGCGGGG